AGUCGAGCGGACAGAUGGGAGCUUGCUCCCUGAAGUCAGCGGCGGACGGGUGAGUAACACGUGGGCAACCUGCCUGUAAGACUGGGAUAACUCCGGGAACCGGGGCUAAUACCGGAUAAUUCUUUCCCUCACAUGAGGGAAAGCUGAAAGAUGGUUUCGGCUAUCACUUACAGAUGGGCCCGCGGCGCAUUAGCUAGUUGGUGAGGUAACGGCUCACCAAGGCAACGAUGCGUAGCCGACCUGAGAGGGUGAUCGGCCACACUGGGACUGAGACACGGCCCAGACUCCUACGGGAGGCAGCAGUAGGGAAUCUUCCGCAAUGGACGAAAGUCUGACGGAGCAACGCCGCGUGAGUGAUGAAGGUUUUCGGAUCGUAAAACUCUGUUGUUAGGGAAGAAC
This 399-nucleotide ribosomal RNA is filed under the name Bacillus infantis. RNAcentral describes it as "bacterial SSU rRNA". It matches the Rfam family "Bacterial small subunit ribosomal RNA", at positions 60 to 450 of the family's 1533-position model. Lineage: Bacteria; Bacillati; Bacillota; Bacilli; Caryophanales; Bacillaceae. The record is from RNAcentral.